UGGGGAAUUUUGCUCAAUGGGCGCAAGCCUGAAGCAGCGAUGCCGCGUGAGGGACGAAGGUCUUCGGAUUGUAAACCUCUUUUGCAGGGGAAAAAUGGACGGGUGAAUAACCCGUUUUGAUGGUACUCUGCGAAUAAGCCACGGCUAACUUCGUGCCAGCAGCCGCGGUAAGACGAAGGUGGCGAGCGUUACUCGGAUUUACUAGGCGUAAAGCGUGGGCAGGCGGUUCGUAAAGUCUGUUGUGAAAGCUCCCGGCUCAACUGGGAGAGGCCAAUGGAUACUCACGGACUUGAAUCGAGGAGGGGUCACUGGAAUUCCUGGUGUAGCGGUGAAAUGCGUAGAUAUCAGGAGGAACACCAAUGGCGAAGGCAGGUGACUGGACUCGUAUUGACGCUCAUCCACGAAAGCUGGGGGAUCAAACAGG
This 424-nucleotide ribosomal RNA is filed under the name uncultured bacterium. RNAcentral describes it as "bacterial SSU rRNA". It matches the Rfam family "Bacterial small subunit ribosomal RNA", at positions 355 to 776 of the family's 1533-position model. The record is from RNAcentral.